AUGAACAUCGCCCUCCUCACCCGCUGGCUAUGGCGCAUUGCCAAUGGGGAGGGAGGCCUUUGGUUGACUAUCAUCCGGAACAAGUACCUGCGUGGCCAGCCUCUGGCGUUCUGCCAGCGCUCGGGCGGUUCCCAGUUUUGGCAGGCAGUCGUCCAGCUGCUUCCAGUCCUGAGGAUAGGCACCUCCAUCUCGGUGGGUUCUGGCGCCUCGACCUUGUUUUGGCUUGAUAGUUGGGUAGGGGACUCCCCCCUGGCCGCCCGGUUCCCCAUCCUCUUCGACAUUGUAGUUGACCCUCGGGUCUCGGUCGAGGCGGCCCUUAUUGACUUAGGGCGCCUCGCGUUUCGUCGUCCUUUUGGCCCUGCCGAGGUGGCUGCUUGGGAUGUCCUCCUCCAGGACAUCGCCUUGUUGCCUAUGGACGUGGCUGACUCUCCGGAUGCCAUCUCCUGGCGUCUGGAUUCCUCAGGCCGCUUCUCCACCAAGUCCCUUUACGCGGCUAUUGCCCCAUCAGUUGCCCCGGUGCCUUUCGGCCUUAUCUGGGACAUCCGCCUCCCACUUAAGAUCCGGAUCUUCUUGUGGCAAUGGAUCCGCGGCCGCCUCCCGUCCGGCGUGGAGGUCCUCAAGCGCCAUGGGCCUGGGGAUGGGAUGUGCCCC
RNAcentral lists this ribosomal RNA (651 nucleotides) under Triticum aestivum (bread wheat). Its description in RNAcentral is "partial small subunit ribosomal RNA". The record is from RNAcentral. Lineage: Eukaryota; Viridiplantae; Streptophyta; Magnoliopsida; Poales; Poaceae.